GAUGAACGCUGGCGGCGUGCCUAAUACAUGCAAGUCGAGCGAACAGAUGAGGAGCUUGCUCCUCUGACGUUAGCGGCGGACGGGUGAGUAACACGUGGAUAACCUACCUAUAAGACUGGGAUAACUUCGGGAAACCGGAGCUAAUACCGGAUAAUAUAUUGAACCGCAUGGUUCAUUAGUGAAAGCCGGUUUUGCUGUCACUUAUAGAUGGAUCCUCGCCGCAUUAGCUAGUUGGUAGGGUAACGGCUUACCAAGGCGACGAUGCGUAACCGACCUGAGAGGAUGAUGAGGAACACGGGAACUGAGACACGGUGCAGAAGCAUACGGGAGGCAGAAGUGGGGAAGAGUGGAAAAUGGGCGAAAGAAUGAUAAAGACAUGAAGCGAGUGUGAAGAAGGUAUUAAGAGUGGAAAGCACUGUAAGGUGGGAGGAAGGGCAGUAAGUGCAUAACUGGAUGUGUUGACGUUACCAACAGAAUAAGCACAGGAUAAAUUAGUG
Molecule: ribosomal RNA, 497 nt
Filed under: uncultured bacterium
Lineage: Bacteria
Description: partial 16S ribosomal RNA
Rfam family: Bacterial small subunit ribosomal RNA
Source: RNAcentral